GACUUUGGCGGGGGUUCUAUACAUGCAGUCGAGCGAACUGAUUAGAAGCUUGCUUCUAUGACGUUAGCGGCGGACGGGUGAGUAACACGUGGGCAACCUGCCUGUAAGACUGGGAUAACUUCGGGAAACCGAAGCUAAUACCGGAUAGGAUCUUCUCCUUCAUGGGAGAUGAUUGAAAGAUGGUUUCGGCUAUCACUUACAGAUGGGCCCGCGGUGCAUUAGCUAGUUGGUGAGGUAACGGCUCACCAAGGCAACGAUGCAUAGCCGACCUGAGAGGGUGAUCGGCCACACUGGGACUGAGACACGGCCCAGACUCCUACGGGAGGCAGCAGUAGGGAAUCUUCCGCAAUGGACGAAAGUCUGACGGAGCAACGCCGCGUGAGUGAUGAAGGCUUUCGGGUCGUAAAACUCUGUUGUUAGGGAAGAACAAGUACGAGAGUAACUGCUCGUACCUUGACGGUACCUAACCAGAAAGCCACGGCUAACUACGUGCCAGCAGCCGCGGUAAUACGUAGGUGGCAAGCGUUAUCCGGAAUUAUUGGGCGUAAAGCGCGCGCAGGCGGUUUCUUAAGUCUGAUGUGAAAGCCCACGGCUCAACCGUGGAGGGUCAUUGGAAACUGGGGAACUUGAGUGCAGAAGAGAAAAGCGGAAUUCCACGUGUAGCGGUGAAAUGCGUAGAGAUGUGGAGGAACACCAGUGGCGAAGGCGGCUUUUUGGUCUGUAACUGACGCUGAGGCGCGAAAGCGUGGGGAGCAAACAGGAUUAGAUACCCUGGUAGUCCACGCCGUAAACGAUGAGUGCUAAGUGUUAGAGGGUUUCCGCCCUUUAGUGCUGCAGCUAACGCAUUAAGCACUCCGCCUGGGGAGUACGGUCGCAAGACUGAAACUCAAGGAAUUGACGGGGGCCCGCACAAGCGGUGGAGCAUGUGUUUAAUUCGAAGCAACGCGAGACCUUACCAGGUCUUGACAUCCUCUGACACUCUAGAGAUAGAGCGUUCCCCUUCGGGGACAGAGUGACAGUGUGCAUGGUUGUCGUCAGCUCGUGUCGUGAGAUGUUGGAUAGUCCCGCACGAGCGCACCUUGAUCUUAGUUGCCAGCAUUCAGUUGGGUACUC
This 1113-nucleotide ribosomal RNA is filed under the name Priestia megaterium. RNAcentral describes it as "bacterial SSU rRNA". It matches the Rfam family "Bacterial small subunit ribosomal RNA", at positions 32 to 1140 of the family's 1533-position model. Lineage: Bacteria; Bacillati; Bacillota; Bacilli; Caryophanales; Bacillaceae. The record is from RNAcentral.